UACUUUACUCCCAUAUUAUGUCAGUCUUCCAAUGUAAUAAAUAACAAAUAUUCAAGCUCCAUAUAACCACUCAAUAGUUAUCAUGGAAUAGUAAUAGAAUAUAAAUCAUACCUGAUUGCCACAAAAUAAAUUAAACAUAGAACAUAGUGAUAGUACUUCCAUUUACAUUAGUUAUAGAACGUAUACAAAGGUAACAAAUGAGUGCUGGAAUUCAAGCUCAGGAGGGAUGGAGGGAAUACAGCAUGGUGGGAGGAUGGAUGAUGCUGUAAAAGAAUUACUGUGAUCAAAACGGUGUAGAGGGCGGCCAUAAAUUGCUUUCUAAAUAUUUAAAGCCUUGCAAGGUCAAGAAAAACAACAUGACUACCUAUUAUUUGCGAGAGCAGGCGACCCGUUUGAUCUUAUAGAAAAUCGAAAGCACAGGGAGGAUAGCGCCAAUACAGUCUAAUAGAAUUUGAGGCUCUCAAUCCAUCUUGUUGCACGUUUCUUGUUUGGAUAUUCUUGAAGUGGGUAAUAAUGGAAGCCUUCCAUUGCGAAUCCUUUUCUCUCAAGACAAGCCAUUAAGGGGCGCAUACAGUGAUGCAUAGAGAAGAAGCGCAAAGAGUGAUAGACAAAUAGAGUGAAAAUAAAGGACUUGAAGAAAAGAGAGAGAGAGAGAGAGAGUAGUGGAGUGCAAGAAGAAACUGAUUAAGAGAGAGAUGUUGAGAUGUUACGAAGCCAUGGGACUGCAAAAAGAACAAGUGAGAGAACAAAGCUUUUGCAUAAAAGUAAGAGAGGGAGAGAGAUGUUAGGAAGCCAUGGGACUGCAAAAAGAACAAGGGAGAGAACAAAGCUUUUGCAUAAAAGUAGUGACAGUGAUGCUAUCUAUAACAUGGAGAAAGAGAGGGAGGGAGGGAGAGGGGGGGGGGACAGAGGAGCAGCUGGGUAGAGUGGAAAGGAGAAGAAGAUUAAUGUAUGUUUCUUGAGUAGUCGAAAUCAACAACCCAUUUCAAGAAAGGCAGGAUUGGGGGAGAGGCCAUUCGUCACAGAUGCAC
Molecule: long non-coding RNA, 1031 nt
Filed under: Amborella trichopoda
Lineage: Eukaryota; Viridiplantae; Streptophyta; Magnoliopsida; Amborellales; Amborellaceae
Description: long non-coding RNA (ATRI_LNC001526)
Source: RNAcentral